Molecule: ribosomal RNA, 253 nt
Filed under: uncultured bacterium
Lineage: Bacteria
Description: partial 16S ribosomal RNA
Rfam family: Bacterial small subunit ribosomal RNA
Source: RNAcentral
UACGGAGGGUGCGAGCGUUGUCCGGAAUUACUGGGCGUAAAGCGCACGUAGGUGGUUUGUUAAGCCAGCUGUGAAAUCCCCGGGCUCAACCUGGGCACUGCAGUUGGAACUGGCAAGCUAGAGUAGGGUAGAGGGGUGUGGAAUUCCAGGUGUAGCGGUGAAAUGCGUAGAUAUCUGGAGGAACAUCAGUGGCGAAGGCGACACCCUGGACUCAUACUGACACUGAGGUGCGAAAGCGUGGGGAGCAAACAGG